This 942-nucleotide long non-coding RNA is filed under the name Crocodylus porosus (Australian saltwater crocodile). Its description in RNAcentral is "lncRNA (ENSCPRG00005009922.1)". Lineage: Eukaryota; Metazoa; Chordata; Crocodylia; Crocodylidae. The record is from RNAcentral.
UCACUGAUGCUUGAUAAUGUAGAGAAAUAGACUAGAUAUCAGAGAGUGAGGGUUUACAACUUUAACAGCUAUUUGUUUUCUUUACAGAUGGGAAGGUUGAAGUGACAAAAGAAGGUGUAAAGCUGUGCACCAUGGGACCUGGCAAAGUAUUUGGGGAGCUAGCCAUCCUUUACAAUUGCACCCGAACAGCAACUGUCAAAAGGCAAGAGCAAGGUCACUUCUACUGCUAUCCUGAAAGGGACCUUUCUUUAAGAAAAAAGUGGGCAACACUAUUUGUUAAGUCUUCUUUUGAUUUCUCUCUGGCAUAUAAAAAUGAUGAAUCACUUCCCAUUUCAUUGCACAAUAUGAAGAGAAGCAUGAUGUCAAUGUUUGUGACUCAAUAUAUUUGACUACCUUCACAACUCAAUCAAGAAGGACUUACGGAUUGACAGGCAUGUUUGGGCAGUUAUUGUUAUGUAAUGAAUGUAGCAUUAGACAUCACCCUAUUUUUUUUACCAUAGCACGACUAAAUUUCCUGGUCCUUGCUUGUGCUGCUCCAUCAGACCAUGCAUCAAUGCAAUGUUUAUGCUCAGUGAUAUUUUCUAUGAUAAAUUCAUUCAGUUUGUUAAAAUUCUGCCAUCUUGAUAGAGCUUAAUACCACAAGAACUCUUCUUUAAUGAUUAUUUUCCAUUUAAGCUUUAUGUACAUAAGUUACUGAGAAAAAAUGAUGAUGCCAUUUGCUCUGGACCCCUCUCUUCUAUCCUCAACUGCUCUGUGCUUAGAGGCAAGGCAUAUGACCCAUUCCACUAUAUGGGAGAUACAAAGAGGUCAUACCACUACUUUGUACAAACAGUUCCAGAAUGUGACAUUUCAGCAGUUUCAGCAUCAUGCUCUAACUCUCCUAGCCAAGGAAAACUAUUUCAUAUAGUAUGCAAAGGAUGAAUAAAACUGGAGCCAUGGACA